GUCAGGAUGGCCGAGCGGUCUAAGGCGCUGCGUUCAGGUCGCAGUCCGGUCUUCCGGGCGUGGGUUCGAGUCCCACUUCUGACA
Non-coding RNA from Ixodes scapularis (black-legged tick), 84 nucleotides. The record is from Rfam. NCBI's taxonomy places the organism in Eukaryota, Metazoa, Arthropoda, Arachnida, Ixodida, Ixodidae.